CAAUGGGAGCGGCAGACGGGAGAGUAACACGUGGGAACGUACCCUUCAGUUCGGAACAACCCAGGGAAACUUGGGCUAAUACCGAAUACGUCCGUAAGGAGAAAGAUUUAUCGCUGAAGGAUCGGCCCGCGUCUGAUUAGCUAGUUGGUGGGGUAAUGGCCCACCAAGGCGACGAUCAGUAGCUGGUCUGAGAGGAUGAUCAGCCUCACUGGGACUGAGACACGGCCCAG
Molecule: ribosomal RNA, 230 nt
Filed under: uncultured bacterium
Lineage: Bacteria
Description: partial 16S ribosomal RNA
Rfam family: Bacterial small subunit ribosomal RNA
Source: RNAcentral